This 326-nucleotide ribosomal RNA is filed under the name uncultured eukaryote. Its description in RNAcentral is "partial 18S ribosomal RNA". It matches the Rfam family "Eukaryotic small subunit ribosomal RNA", at positions 1470 to 1796 of the family's 1831-position model. The record is from RNAcentral.
CCCCUAGAUGUUCUGGGCCGCACGCGCGCUACACUGAACAGUUCAACAAGUCUUAACCUUGGCCGAUAGGUCUGGGUAAUCUUUGAACGCUGUUCGUGAUUGGGAUAGACCUUUGCAAUUAUGGGUCUUCAACGAGGAAUUCCUAGUAAACGCAAGUCAUCAGCUUGCAUUGAUUACGUCCCUGCCCUUUGUACACACCGCCCGUCGCACCUACCGAUUGGACGUUUUAGUGAGGAUUUUGGACUGAGCCAAUGGUGGUUCACACCACUGUUGUGCAUGGAAAGAUCUCCAAACUUGAGCGUUUAGAGGAAGUAAAAGUCGUAACA